This 305-nucleotide ribosomal RNA is filed under the name uncultured bacterium. RNAcentral describes it as "bacterial SSU rRNA". It matches the Rfam family "Bacterial small subunit ribosomal RNA", at positions 337 to 658 of the family's 1533-position model. The record is from RNAcentral.
GCCUACGGGGCGCAGCAGUCGGGAAUAUUGCGCAAUGGAGGAAACUCUGACGCAGUGACGCCGCGUAUAGGAAGAAGGUUUUCGGAUUGUAAACUAUUGUCGUUAGGGAAGAUAAAAGACAGUACCUAAGGAGGAAGCUCCGGCUAACUACGUGCCAGCAGCCGCGGUAAUACGUAGGGAGCAAGCGUUAUCCGGAUUUAUUGGGUGUAAAGGGUGCGUAGACGGGUAUACAAGUUAGUAGUGAAAUCCCUCGGCUUAACUGAGGAACUGCUACUAAAACUAUAUAUCUUGAGUACUGGAGGGGA